This 441-nucleotide long non-coding RNA is filed under the name Oryctolagus cuniculus (rabbit). Its description in RNAcentral is "lncRNA (ENSOCUG00000033198.1)". Lineage: Eukaryota; Metazoa; Chordata; Mammalia; Lagomorpha; Leporidae. The record is from RNAcentral.
AUGAUAUUCAUAGUUAUCUUUAUUUCAGUCAGUAAAAGUGACCUAAAUUUCAAAAAUUUUUCUGAAAUGCAAGUGGAAACAAUUGAGCCUCUAUUGGAAAAGGAUUCCAGCAAAAUGAAGUGUGUGAAACAGGACUGUCAACACCUUAAUUUUAGCCUGAUAUUCAAGAAAAUUACCCUGUAUUUUAGAUCAUAUUUGGUCGGAACAGCAACACAACGUUCCUGUGCUCAGACAAUGUCGUUAGGACACCUGCUUCAGCGCCUGCUGCUCAUAACCAUCAGGAACUAUGUGAGGAAAGAAAAAUCCACUCUUCCUGUUUCCCUUCCUGAUAGAACUCAAAAAUGUGACAUAUAUGUCACCAACUAUAUGCAGUUGUUCAAGAUAUGUAUGCAGAAUAGUCAAAGAAGAGAUGUGGUGAAGUGUGAUGGAGGAACCUUUUGA